GAUGAACGCUGGCGGUGUGCCUAAUACAUGCAAGUCGAACGCACAGCGAAAGGUGCUUGCACCUUUCAAGUGAGUGGCGAACGGGUGAGUAACACGUGGACAACCUGCCUCAAGGCUGGGGAUAACAUUUGGAAACAGAUGCUAAUACCGAAUAAAACUCAGUGUCGCAUGACACAAAGUUAAAAGGCGCUUUGGCGUCACCUAGAGAUGGAUCCGCGGUGCAUUAGUGAGUUGGUGGGGUAAAGGCCUACCAAGACAAUGAUGCAUGGCCGAGUUGGGAGACUGAUCGGCCACAUUGGGACUGAGACACGGCACAAACUCCUACGGGAGGCUGCAGUAGGGAAUCUUCCACAAUGGGCGAAAGCCUGAUGGAGCAACGCCGCGUGUGUGAUGAAGGCUUUCGGGUCGUAAAGCACUGUUGUAUGGGAAGAACAGCUAGAAUAGGGAAUGAUUUUAGUUUGACGGUACCAUACCAGAAAGGGACGGCUAAAUACGAGCCAGCCGCCGCGGUAA
RNAcentral lists this ribosomal RNA (513 nucleotides) under uncultured bacterium. RNAcentral's name for it is "partial 16S ribosomal RNA". It matches the Rfam family "Bacterial small subunit ribosomal RNA", at positions 28 to 523 of the family's 1533-position model. The record is from RNAcentral.